GGGUUGUGAGGUUAAGCGAACAAGCGUACACGGUGGAUGCCCUGGCAGUCAGAGGCGAUGAAGGACGUGCUAAUCUGCGAAAAGCGCCGGUAAGGUGAUAUGAACCGUUAUAACCGGCGAUGUCCGAAUGGGGAAACCCGGUGCACUUCGGUGCAUCAUCGUUAGCUGAAUACAUAGGCUAACGAAGCGAACCGGGGGAACUGAAACAUCUAAGUACCCCGAGGAAAAGAAAUCAACCGAGAUUCCCCCAGUAGCGGCGAGCGAACGGGGAACAGCCCAGAGCCUGAAUCAGCUUGUGUGUCAGUGGAACGGUCUGGAAAGGCCGGCGAUACAGGGUGACAGCCCCGUACACGAAGGCACACAGGCUGUGAGCUCGAUGAGUAGGGCGGGACACGUGAUAUCCUGUCUGAAGAUGGGGGGACCAUCCUCCAAGGCUAAAUACUCCUGACUGACCGAUAGUGAACCAGUACCGUGAGGGAAAGGCGAAAAGAACCCCGGCGAGGGGAGUGAAACAGAACCUGAAACCGUGUACGUACAAGCAGUGGGAGCCUUCGUAAGAGGGUGACUGCGUACCUUUUGUAUAAUGGGUCAGCGACUUAUAUUCUGUAGCAAGGUUAACCGUAUAGGGGAGCCGAAGGGAAACCGAGUCUUAACCGGGCGUUAAGUUGCAGGGUAUAGACCCGAAACCCGGUGAUCUAGCCAUGGGCAGGUUGAAGGUUGGGUAACACUAACUGGAGGACCGAACCGACUAAUGUUGAAAAAUUAGCGGAUGACCUGUGGCUGGGGGUGAAAGGCCAAUCAAACCGGGAGAUAGCUGGUUCUCCCCGAAAGCUAUUUAGGUAGCGCCUCGUGAACUCAUCUCCGGGGGUAGAGCACUGUUUCGGCUAGGGGGCCAUCCCGGCUUACCAACCCGAUGCAAACUGCGAAUACCGGAGAAUGUUAUCACGGGAGACACACGGCGGGUGCUAACGUCCGUCGUGAAGAGGGAAACAACCCAGACCGCCAGCUAAGGUCCCAAAGUCAUGGUUAAGUGGGAAACGAUGUGGGAAGGCCCAGACAGCCAGGAUGUUGGCUUAGAAGCAGCCAUCAUUUAAAGAAAGCGUAAUAGCUCACUGGUCGAGUCGGCCUGCGCGGAAGAUGUAACGGGGCUAAACCAUGCACCGAAGCUGCGGCAGCGACACUAUGUGUUGUUGGGUAGGGGAGCGUUCUGUAAGCCUGCGAAGGUGUGCUGUGAGGCAUGCUGGAGGUAUCAGAAGUGCGAAUGCUGACAUAAGUAACGAUAAAGCGGGUGAAAAGCCCGCUCGCCGGAAGACCAAGGGUUCCUGUCCAACGUUAAUCGGGGCAGGGUGAGUCGACCCCUAAGGCGAGGCCGAAAGGCGUAGUCGAUGGGAAACAGGUUAAUAUUCCUGUACUUGGUGUUACUGCGAAGGGGGGACGGAGAAGGCUAUGUCGGCCGGGCGACGGUUGUCCCGGUUUAAGCGUGUAGGCUGACUUUCCAGGCAAAUCCGGAAGGUUAAGGCUGAGGCGUGAUGACGAGGCACCACGGUGCUGAAGUGACAAAUGCCCUGCUUCCAGGAAAAGCCUCUAAGCAUCAGGUAACAUCAAAUCGUACCCCAAACCGACACAGGUGGUCAGGUAGAGAAUACCAAGGCGCUUGAGAGAACUCGGGUGAAGGAACUAGGCAAAAUGGUGCCGUAACUUCGGGAGAAGGCACGCUGACAUGUAGGUGAAGCCCCUGCGGGUGGAGCUGAAGUCAGUCGAAGAUACCAGCUGGCUGCAACUGUUUAUUAAAAACACAGCACUGUGCAAACACGAAAGUGGACGUAUACGGUGUGACGCCUGCCCGGUGCCGGAAGGUUAAUUGAUGGGGUUAUCGCAAGAGAAGCUCCUGAUCGAAGCCCCGGUAAACGGCGGCCGUAACUAUAACGGUCCUAAGGUAGCGAAAUUCCUUGUCGGGUAAGUUCCGACCUGCACGAAUGGCGUAAUGAUGGCCAGGCUGUCUCCACCCGAGACUCAGUGAAAUUGAACUCGCUGUGAAGAUGCAGUGUACCCGCGGCAAGACGGAAAGACCCCGUGAACCUUUACUACAGCUUGACACUGAACAUUGAGCCUUGAUGUGUAGGAUAGGUGGGAGGCUUUGAAGCGUGGACGCCAGUCUGCGUGGAGCCGACCUUGAAAUACCACCCUUUAAUGUUUGAUGUUCUAACCUGGCGCCAUAAUCUGGCGUGGGGACAGUGUCUGGUGGGUAGUUUGACUGGGGCGGUCUCCUCCCAAAGUGUAACGGAGGAGCACGAAGGUCAGCUAAUCCUGGUCGGACAUCAGGAGGUUAGUGCAAUGGCAUAAGCUGGCUUGACUGCGAGAGUGACGGCUCGAGCAGGUGCGAAAGCAGGUCAUAGUGAUCCGGUGGUUCUGUAUGGAAGGGCCAUCGCUCAACGGAUAAAAGGUACUCCGGGGAUAACAGGCUGAUACCGCCCAAGAGUUCAUAUCGACGGCGGUGUUUGGCACCUCGAUGUCGGCUCAUCACAUCCUGGGGCUGAAGUAGGUCCCAAGGGUAUGGCUGUUCGCCAUUUAAAGUGGUACGCGAGCUGGGUUUAGAACGUCGUGAGACAGUUCGGUCCCUAUCUGCCGUGGGCGCUGGAGAAUUGAGGGGGGCUGCUCCCAGUACGAGAGGACCGGAGUGGACGCAUCACUGGUGUUCGGGUUGUCAUGCCAAUGGCACUGCCCGGUAGCUAAAUGCGGAAGAGAUAAGUGCUGAAAGCAUCUAAGCACGAAACUUGCCCCGAGAUGAGUUCUCCCUGAGACU
Molecule: ribosomal RNA, 2803 nt
Filed under: Cronobacter sakazakii
Lineage: Bacteria; Pseudomonadati; Pseudomonadota; Gammaproteobacteria; Enterobacterales; Enterobacteriaceae
Description: partial 23S ribosomal RNA
Rfam family: Bacterial large subunit ribosomal RNA
Source: RNAcentral